RNAcentral lists this unclassified non-coding RNA (253 nucleotides) under Hevea brasiliensis (rubber tree). The record is from RNAcentral. Lineage: Eukaryota; Viridiplantae; Streptophyta; Magnoliopsida; Malpighiales; Euphorbiaceae.
AAAAAUUAAUCUUUCCAUUGAAAUUUCAACAAUCCAUACGGAAAACCUUACAAUACAGUACAAACAACCGUCACCUUAGUGAAUGAAGUAACACACAGGUUAAUAAAAUAAAACAGAAACCAUCAUUAUUCUUCCAAUAAAGCCUUCGAAUUACUUGGAUGCAUGUCUGUUCAUAGCCUCUACUUACCCUCUUCAUCACCAAUGCCUGAUGUUGUUCUGAGCUUAUUCUUGGUACGAUCAAUGUAAUCCGAAA